AGCAGCUGCGGUAAUUCCAGCUCCAAUAGCGUAUAUUAAAGUUGUUGCAGUUAAAAAGCUCGUAGUUGAAUUUCGGGAUCAAUAUGUUGGUCGUGCCUCGGUACGUACUAGCUUAUUGGUUUCUCCUUUCUGAAGAACCAUGAUGUCAUUUAUUUGGUGUCGUGGGGAAUCAGGACUGUUACUUUGAAAAAUUAGAGUGUUUAAAGCAGGCUCACGCUUGAAUACAUUAGCAUGGAAUAAUGAAAUAGGACGUUUGAUUCUAUUUUGUUGGUUUCUAGGAUCGACGUAAUGAUUAAUAGGGAUAGUUGGGGGCAUUAGUAUUCAAUUGUCAGAGGUGAAAUUCUUGGAUUUAUUGAAGACUAACUACUGCGAAAGCAUUUGCCAAGGAUGUUUUCAUUAAUCAAGAACGAAAGUUAGGGGAUCGAAGACGAUCAGAUACCGUCGUAGUCUUAACCAUAAACUAUGCCGACUAGGGAUCGGAUGAUGUAAUUUUUAAUGA
Molecule: unclassified non-coding RNA, 499 nt
Filed under: uncultured Glomus
Lineage: Eukaryota; Fungi; Glomeromycota; Glomeromycetes; Glomerales; Glomeraceae
Description: SSU rRNA
Rfam family: Eukaryotic small subunit ribosomal RNA
Source: RNAcentral